UCUGGGACAAGCCCUGGAAACGGGGUCUAAUACCGGAUACGACACACGGAGGCAUCUCCUGUGUGUGGAAAGCUCCGGCGGUGAAGGAUGAGCCCGCGGCCUAUCAGCUUGUUGGUGGGGUGAUGGCCUACCAAGGCGACGACGGGUAGCCGGCCUGAGAGGGCGACCGGCCACACUGGGACUGAGACACGGCCCAGACUCCUACGGGAGGCAGCAGUGGGGAAUAUUGCACAAUGGGCGAAAGCCUGAUGCAGCGACGCCGCGUGAGGGAUGACGGCCUUCGGGUUGUAAACCUCUUUCAGCAGGGAAGAAGCGAAAGUGACGGUACCUGCAGAAGAAGCGCCGGCUAACUACGUGCCAGCAGCCGCGGUAAUACGUAGGGCGCAAGCGUUGUCCGGAAUUAUUGGGCGUAAAGAGCUCGUAGGCGGCUUGUCACGUCGGUUGUGAAAGCCCGGGGCUUAACCCCGGGUCUGCAGUCGAUACGGGCAGGCUAGAGUUCGGUAGGGGAGAUCGGAAUUCCUGGUGUAGCGGUGAAAUGCGCAGAUAUCAGGAGGAACACCGGUGGCGAAGGCGGAUCUCUGGGCCGAUACUGACGCUGAGGAGCGAAAGCGUGGGGAGCGAACAGGAUUAGAUACCCUGGUAGUCCACGCCGUAAACGGUGGGCACUAG
Molecule: ribosomal RNA, 669 nt
Filed under: Streptomyces sp.
Lineage: Bacteria; Bacillati; Actinomycetota; Actinomycetes; Kitasatosporales; Streptomycetaceae
Description: bacterial SSU rRNA
Rfam family: Bacterial small subunit ribosomal RNA
Source: RNAcentral